Molecule: long non-coding RNA, 1683 nt
Filed under: Homo sapiens (human)
Lineage: Eukaryota; Metazoa; Chordata; Mammalia; Primates; Hominidae
Description: HSALNT0035015
Source: RNAcentral
UAUUUAUAGAGCAGCGCCCGCGCGCGCCCGGCUCGGGCCCCGCCCCUCGGCGCCGCGCGCCAAUGCACCACUUGCGCGGGGGUCGGGGGAGGAAGGGCAGCUCGCCCCGCGGAGUCCGGGCUGAACCACACUGCGCGGCCGCGGGAGGUGCCGUGGCAAUCCGGCCCUCCAGAGACCGUUCAGCUAUCUUGAGCCGCUAGAGCUAGGAGAAAAAUGCAGACGCGAGGAGACGUGGGGGAUUGCUCUUCCUUGUUUGAUGUGGGAGAAAAAGCGACUGGGGCUUGCUGGACCCGCUCCCCUGUGCGGUGACAUGGCACCUCCCUUCCGACCGUUGGCCGGGAUAGCUUUCCCGGAGGUCGCGUCCCCCAGCGGAGGCGGCGGGAAUCGCGGAGGUUUUGUGCUGCGGCUGGGGUCUUUCUGGCCGUCCCGCCUCUAGAUGCCGGGUGGCAGGGAGCCGGUGGCGGUCGGCCAUGUGAAGGUGGCCAUCUUGGCCGGCCAGCGAGGGCUCCUCACGGCCUUCCUUCGGCGUCCCUGCCCGGCUCGUUGCCGGCCCCGGGAUAUCUGAGGGGCGCAGGCCCACCUUCUAGUCGUUUCCUGGUGAAUGGCUCUGCUGAAGAUGGCCGGAAAGCAGAUUAAUGAAGGUGCUGCCAUCGAUUUAAACAAUCGCCCUCCUGCCCGCUCCCCUGCGCUAAAGUUUCUGAGGGAUCCUCACCCUUCGUGGUUCGUGGACUUAAAAGUGGAGGCAGCGCUCCAGCCUUUCCCUCCAGAGAGAAAGGAGGCCGCUCCCAAGUCCGUCCUUGCCCCGUGGCCUUCCUGUUCCUUUGAAGGGGGGGGGAAUCGAUGUUUCAAUCCUCUGUUCAGGAGAAUAUGGAACGAACAUUUCUUUUUUGGUGGGUGGGGGCUAUUCGUUCCCUUGAAUGUGCUUAAGCAGAUCUCUUGACGGCGUGGAAUGGGCUGUUUCAUGAAGCUUUCACUUUAAAAUGUCCACCUGCGUUUGUCCCAGUUUUGCCCAAUAAAGGAAUUACAGGGAAAAAGAGCGAAACAAAACUUGAGCCAGCAAGGAGUAUGGAGUCCCGUUUGGAGGGAGCCCGCCUUGGGGGCGGGGGUCUCUGCAGCCUGUUCUGGGGCUGGGCCUCGGUGCAGGUCUGGUCGGGCUGGUGGCCUGGUGGCCCUGAGCGGAGCGCGUGACAAGAACGCCGGGUUUAAUGAGGUUCUCAGGGAACGGCCUGCUCCUAGCAUGGGAUGUACUUUACGCUGGGGAGGUGAAGGAGACCCCUAGUAACAGUCUCCAGCUGCCUACUGCUGGCGGCAGUAGAACAAGGUGCAUUCCCAAGAACAAUCCUCUCCGUCGGUGCAGGAGGAAAGGUGGGAUUUGCUAAAGGCUCAGUGGGAAACAAAGGAAGCACUUGGGCUGUGCUGGGGGCAUCCACAAAGAAGAUAAAGGGCUCCUCCCCAGACUCAGUGACCACAUCCACGGUCGCUCAAAGCAGGCAGCAAGAAAAGGUUCGACCACAAAAGAGACAAUAGGUGAUGAUAUUUUUAUUCGUUGCUUUUUACUUUUCAAGCUAACCCUUCAUGGGAAAGUAACUGUAUAAGACUAUUAAAUUUUUUUGUUAUUUUUUAAAGGAGAAUGCCAAUUUAUUAACUUACAAUGUGUAAUAAAAUUGUCAACUGGAACAAAAU